GUGGAGGUGACUGCAGAAUCAGUGGU
Molecule: non-coding RNA, 26 nt
Filed under: Homo sapiens (human)
Lineage: Eukaryota; Metazoa; Chordata; Mammalia; Primates; Hominidae
Source: RNAcentral